GACAAUUUACCUGAAGAAAUUGAGGAAGUGGGCAAAUCAGUAUUUAUCACUCAGGUGUUUACAAAUGGAGAUAUUUACAAUUCACAAGGUUUCUGUAUAAAACGAAAGGUAUGGGAGUAUGAUUUAUAAAAGAUACUAUAGCAAGUAUGCGUAGGAGAAAAAUUUCUUUUGCAUGUGGAAGGAGUUGUCAUUUGAAUUCAUGCAAUGACGAAAGACGAUGCCAACAUACUUCAGAACGAUGGUUUGUCAUCAACUGCACCGCCAGAUAAAGUAAACAGCAGUGACAAUAGUAAUGAACACAACACUUUCAUUCCACCGAAGGUAUCAGUGACUUUAACUGACUCUGUGGCAGCGGUAACAGUGGCUGUACUAGCUUGUGUUCUGCUGUUAACUGUAGUUUUUAUUAUUAAAGCUAUAAAAAGACGUAGAAGAGCUCAACGUGGUGAAGAGAUAAAUCACGUCCCAACCAUUGCAGCAGGUGUAAUGGGAACAGGUGUAGCAGCAUACAAUACUAAUAGACAUCAUAAUAACACUGUAGAAGGAAGCAUUAGUUGGGAACCAGUUACUCCUUUACCUUCAACUUCAACUAGUUUACACUUUCCACCAAGGGGAGAUAACUCGGUUUAAUUGUACCACGAAGAGAUAGCUCAGUUAUAAUCAGUAAACGAAGGGAACUCAUUUGAAUUUACUGUGAUAGACUAUAGACUUACAGUUUUUUGGACAAUUUGUACAUAUUUGUGCCAUAAGUAAAUAAGUGAGCACAGGUUUGCCUUUUUGUAUUUAAAACAGUGUUAAUUUAUGAAAAUAAUAUUCACAAAAAUAUGUCUUGUACCAGUUUGUGUCAGGAUUUAUUAAUCCUAUGGUAGGCCUAUGCAUUUAAAAAUAUUUAUAUUAUCUUUUAUAUUAUCUUCUGAUAUGAGAUACAUGUACCCAGUGACGAAUCAUGACGAGGGCAAUAGAGGCAAAAGCCUAGGGGCCCGGGGAUUUGGUGACAAAAAAAAAAUAUUUAUUUUAUAUUUUGUAGAAAAAAAUAAUGAAGACCCAUUUCCCAAAAUGAGUUUUGAAAUUAUUAGGUAGAGGGACACAAGAGGCAUAGAUCAGAAAAAAAUUGAUAUCAAUUAUCUUGAUGUGACACAUUUUGAAAAUUCAACUGAUUGAAAUGCUACUGACUUGCAGUCUGAUUGAUGUUAUUUAUUAAUUCUUUUUGCAAACUCAUGUAGUCCGAUUUGGAUAACAGGAAUGUGGCAUAACCGUUAAAAAAAAAAAUCUUGAAUCAAUUCUCCAAGUAUAUUCCUGAAGAAACAAAUUCUGCACUAUUCGGAAAUAUGAUCUGCAACAACUGCUUAGAACUAAGCAUAUGACUUCCCACCAGGGAUAUACUCCAUAGACCACCAUUUCGAAAUUUCAAAAUUUUUUGGGGAAGAUCCCCUCAAUCUCAGGGGGAAAGAGCCCCCAAAAAACCCUAGUGUCAUCUUGUCACUGGGCUCGACAGCUACGCUGCCUCAGGGCCCAGUGAUCUCAUGAUCUGCCACUGCAUGUACUAUAUGUAAAACUUUCUCAAAUUUUGAAUUCAUAGAAAAAGGUUACAUCUUUUGAUCUUAGGAUCUAUAAGAUCAAUUUCUGUGGAAGUAACUUUUUCUAGGAGUAAAAUAUUUGAGACCUACACUGUACGGGUAUAUCUUAUUGCGCGGUAGAGAAUAAAGAAUUAUAUAAACUGUGUUAUAUAUCAUCUUAUUUACAGAUAAUCUUAGUUAUUUUUACCACAGUUAAUUUUUAUAUUGUACUACAUGUACAUCAAUAAAUUUAACAUGACAUUUUUGAAUGAAACUGGCAUUCAGAUACCAUAAUAUUAACUUUUUAACUAUACAAAUCAUUUCUGUUGAUGUAACGGGCUGCUUAUUGUUGUGAAUUACAGGAAUAAUUCUCUGUCAGUCUGUGGUUUAGAAGUUAUAACCAUUUGGAGUGAAAUAUUAGGCUGCUAUUCGGUCAGACUACAGUGUAGUGGAAACAAAAUUGUAAUUUUCUUGGAAGCACAUUUCUCCAUUUAUGUUGUUGAGAUAAUUUGUAAAUGUCUUCAAUCCUUCUUAAUCAAUGUUGUAUGCACAAAAUUAAAGUAGAGCAUUUAUCACUGCCACAGAGAUUUUUAAAAUCAAGUUAUACUUGGAAAAAAGCUUAACACGUAAUUCUGGGAAAGGACAUGGCCUUAUGGUUUUGGUCACUGUUCAUAACUUAUAAAUUUUGAUAUAUUAUUAAAAUGUCUAAAUCAAACAAGGAUGCUCUGCUUUGUGAAAAAGCUUUACAUACCAAUGAGUACCGAGUUUUAAGCUUAGUUUAAAUCUACCGAUAUUCUUAAAAAUUUAUUCAUUGGGGCUGAUUAAUUCAUUGAGCCUGAUGAAUUCAUUGAGAUAAACAUAUAGAUAUAUUUUAUCUAUAUUCUUAUUAUAGUCUACUGUAUUAUAGUAUAAUUUACUUUUAUCUGUUCUCCCAUUGUAGAGGAUAAAAGUUCAUCGCCUUAAUUAUAUACAUUUGAUAGUCUCAAACACCCAGACCAUAUAUACUUAGAUCCAUGAAAAUGUACCACCUUUAUAAACUGGUGAUAAUCUUGUUUGAGAGAUACAUUGUUGGAUUUUAAAAAGAUUAGGAAGUGCCUGUCUAUUAAUUAAAACUAUUUAUUAACCUGUGAUAUAAUUGAUCAAAAUUACACUUACAAUGAGAUUAUCAUAUAAUUUAUUAUUUACAUGUAUAUAGAAGCUCUUAAGUUGUGUAUGUCAGAAUGUCCCUUUGUUAUGAUAUCAACAUCUUCACAUUUCUUGUUAGUAUAAUUAGACAACAAAACUACAUGUAUCUUGUUGAGAUUGAUAAGAACAGUUUUGCUCAUUGGUUUACAAGUUAUGCCCUUUAUUAUGUAAACUUGGGCUGCAAUUAUUAAACUAUGUUUCUGAAAUUUAUAUUGGUUGGCUAUCCUACUGAAAGGAAGAAUCCUAUUUAUUUUCAAUAAAUUUUGAUUUGCAGUUUUUAUGAAAUUAGAAUAUUAAAAUUAUUGUCUUAAUAAAUGGGAUUAAUUGAUUUUCAUGAAAGGGGAGAACCACUGUCAAACAAAUUGCAUAUGAACAAGUAAUCAUGAAUGCAUGAAAACUUUUCAUACUUGAAACUUUGCAUACCCAUUCCUUAUACCAUAUUGUUUUUGGUGAAUGCCCGACCCCCAGUGGGUGAGUCACACCCAUGUUUCCUUUGUGUGUCGACUACAGGUCACAAUUUUUAAUGGACCAUCUUGGAACUUAGUAUAUGUAUUCCUUCUAGCCUAAGGAUGACAACUAUUGAUUUUCAUGCAUGACUCGACCCCCAGGGGCAGAGCCACGCCCAAUUAUUGUGUUUAUCAUAAACUGGCCGCAAUUAUGAAUGGAUCAUCUUGAAACUUGCACAGGUAUUCCUUAUAGCCUAAGUGUGGCAACUAUUGAUUUGGGUGCAUGUUCCGACCCCAGGGGCAUCGCCACGCCCAAUUUUCGUGUUUGGCGUCUAAAGGCUACAAUUCUGGAUGGAUUAUCUUGGAACUUGGUAUACUUAUUUAUUAUACCCUAAGGACGGUAACUAUUGAUUUUGGUGCAGGAAUGUGGACUAUAUUGCAGCGGUAGCGAUGCUCUUGUUUUAUUAUAUUAAACUAUAGUACACCAAGCAUUGAAAUCAUGUAAAAGUAAUAAUAUACACACACUAUUGUGCUUUCUUCAUAUAUACUGUAGUUGAAAUCUUUAUAAUCUGGUGGUGUACUGAGCACUACAAGAUUUUAUUUAAUUGUACAAUUUUACUUUACAUGUUCUCUAUCAUUCCAUAUAUAUAUUAUUGUAUUAUUAUUUUAUAUUAAAAGUAUGUUUUAAGAAAAGCUAUUUCAGGCCCAAAACAGUCCACAGAGACCAUAACAUUGAAACAUGGGCAUGAGGAGUAUAAAUCAAAUCAUUAACAUGUGUGUCCACUUCUAGCAAGAAAUCUGCCGCAUGUAUAGACUCUGAAUAACAGCUUGUGGGUUCCUUCUCCUACUUGUUGCAUUGCUGUUUAUGGGCCAUUAUGGUGAUUCUUGUAUAUUGUAAUCACUGUUUAACCGAUCAUAAAUAGGAUGAAACAAUUGGUAACAUUAUUAUAUGGUGUGUUUGUUAGCUUCAUUGUCAAUCUCGGCUCCCUGUGAGAAGUUUACCGUGCGUUUAUCUCUGGAAAAACUCGCCGGCCAUUAUUUAUCAAUCUUAGUUCGGUUCCUAGUCUCUCCGCCAGUGGCUCCUGUAUUGGAUAGAUUUGUUUGAAUGAAAUGCUGCCGAUUUCUCGAAAGUUAGGCAUCGGUUCGUUGCAUGGAAAGACAGGCCCGUUUUAAUAGUCCCCUUCUUUCUCGAUAAAAGAGAAACAGAGUAUCAUUAUGAACCAAGGCUAUUUUAAAGACAA
This is a long non-coding RNA of Patella vulgata (common limpet), 4425 nucleotides long. RefSeq lists it as uncharacterized. Lineage: Eukaryota; Metazoa; Mollusca; Gastropoda; Patellidae. The record is from RefSeq and is a predicted model, not a curated record. The transcript has 3 exons.